UAAUACGGAGGGGGCGAGCGUUGUUCGGAAUCACUGGGUGUAAAGGGUGCGUAGGCGGUCCGAUAAGUCUGAUGUGAAAGCCCUGGGCUCAACUCAGGAACUGCAUUGGAAACUGACGGACUGGAGUACCGGAGAGGGAAGCGGAAUUCCUGGUGUAGCGGUGAAAUGCGUAGAUACCAGGAGGAACACCGGUGGCGAAGGCGGUUUCCUGGCCGAGUACUGACGCUGAGGCACGAAAGCGUGGGGAGCGAACGGGAUUAGAUACCCCGGUAGUCCACGCUGUAAACGAUGGGUGCUAGGUGUUGGAGGUAUCGACCCCUUCAGUGCCGUAGCUAACGCUUUAAGCACCCCACCUGGGGAGUACGUUCGCAAGAAUG
Molecule: ribosomal RNA, 377 nt
Filed under: uncultured bacterium
Lineage: Bacteria
Description: bacterial SSU rRNA
Rfam family: Bacterial small subunit ribosomal RNA
Source: RNAcentral